Molecule: ribosomal RNA, 36 nt
Filed under: Schizosaccharomyces pombe (fission yeast)
Lineage: Eukaryota; Fungi; Ascomycota; Schizosaccharomycetes; Schizosaccharomycetales; Schizosaccharomycetaceae
Source: RNAcentral
GUUUCCCGUCCGAUCACUGGAGUUAAGCGAAACGCU